AGUUACAAAAGUAAAAUAAUAAUAAUGAUAAUGAUAAUAUAUCAGGUAACUAUAGUAAAAUAAUAAGUAAUAAUAAUAACGUGUAAAUAAUAAUAGUAAUGAAAGUAAUAACAAGUAAUAAAAGGGAUUAAAUUAAAUUUGAAACAGAAAGUUCGGGGCGAAUUUGAAAAUAAAUGAAGAAGGAAAGGACCAAAUCGAAUGUGCAAACAAAAAGGAGGGACCAAAUCGGACAAUAAACCCUCUCUCUAAAAUGCGUUGUACCACCUAGGACUAAAUUGAAAUCCAAGCGUAAAUUUAGAGCAAGAUUAAGAAUCCAUAAAAACUUAAUUGCUAAGUAGCAGAAAAGCGGAAGGGCUAAAAGCGAAUUAGCCCUUCCAAUGAAAAAAGCGCGGAUCCUGAGUGGAGCGGGUCGGAUUGGGUCGGGUCGCCUCAAAACGACGUCGUUUUGGGGUGUUUUGCGGCUAAAUUAAACGACGUCGUUUUGGUAGUGUUAAUAAAAGGCCAAAUUUUUGCAAAAAAAAAUUCAUUUUCCUUCUCUUUUCUUCAAAAAAAAAACUGAGAGCACCCUUUGGCCCUCUCUCCUUCCCCUCUGGUCCAGUCACCGGACCGUCCCCGUCUGCCACGCCGGCCACCGUCGGCCACCGUCGCCGGCCCCGAAAGCGGUGGCCGGAGUUUAAAAAAGGUAUUUUUUCUUUUUUCCUUUUUAUAUUUUUAUAUGUAAUUGAUUUUUUUAAGGAAAAUAGAGAAAACUUCAAUAUAUGUAUGUAAAUGGGUUCGAAAAUAAAAGGAAAAUAAAUAAAAAAGAAAAAAAAGGUAACCUUUUGCCUUCGUGAAACUUGUUUAAUCUGUUUUUGGAGAUCUGUUUGAUAUUAGGAUCUCUAGUUUGAUCUCUUUUUUUCUCCUUUUCUUGUGUUUGAUGUAUGUUUUCAAGUAUUUUUUCGUAUUGAUUUUUUUUUUUUUUAAAGUGUCAAUACAAGUGGUUUUGUGGCUUUAUAUAGCCAUUCUUACAACUUGUUGUUUUUUUAAUCUUUCUAUCACUUCUGUUGCAGGUGGAUGAGGUCAAUGGUGGCAGGUGGAGCGACGGUAUGGUGGCUGAUAGAGGCUAGGGCGGCUGACCUAGGGUUUUUUUUAGUUUCUUUUUUUUAAUUGUUGUGGGCUAGGGUUAAAAGAAUUUUGGGCUGCAUUGUUUUGGGCUUAGUGGGUUUAGGUUCGUUUAGGGUUAGUGGGUUGGUUGAUGGGUUUAGCUAAUGUUGGGUUUGGGUCUUGUUUUGAGUUAGUGGGUUUAAUUUAGGUGGGUUAGGUUUAAGCUAAAAUGGGCCUGGGCAAAAUUGGUGUGUACAUAUUGUAUCUUGAAUGUUUUUAUUUUUAGGCAUGAAUUAAUUUUCUAAAUACCUAGGGAGAUGAACCUUAUGAUGGAUUCUUACGUUUGAUUUUUAUUUUACGUAACAAAUACUUAUUUUUUUUAUUCUUAAUUAUGUGUGCUUAAUUUCUUAGUUUACUAUUUCUAAACUAUUUAUCCAUAUUUGAUGUACUUAAAUCGGAGAUUAAAUAAACC
RNAcentral lists this long non-coding RNA (1555 nucleotides) under Gossypium barbadense (sea-island cotton). RNAcentral's name for it is "long non-coding RNA (GBAR_LNC006808)". The record is from RNAcentral. Lineage: Eukaryota; Viridiplantae; Streptophyta; Magnoliopsida; Malvales; Malvaceae.